CAGGCUUAACACAUGCAAGUCGAGGGGCAGCAUGGUCUUAGCUUGCUAAGGCCGAUGGCGACCGGCGCACGGGUGAGUAACACGUAUCCAACCUGCCGUCUACUCUUGGACAGCCUUCUGAAAGGAAGAUUAAUACAAGAUGGCAUCAUGAGUCCGCAUGUUCACAUGAUUAAAGGUAUUCCGGUAGACGAUGGGGAUGCGUUCCAUUAGAUAGUAGGCGGGGUAACGGCCCACCUAGUCUUCGAUGGAUAGGGGUUCUGAGAGGAAGGUCCCCCACAUUGGAACUGAGACACGGUCCAAACUCCUACGGGAGGCAGCAGUGAGGAAUAUUGGUCAAUGGGCGAGAGCCUGAACCAGCCAAGUAGCGUGAAGGAUGACUGCCCUAUGGGUUGUAAACUUCUUUUAUAAAGGAAUAAAGUCGGGUAUGGAUACCCGUUUGCAUGUACUUUAUGAAUAAGGAUCGGCUAACUCCGUGCCAGCAGCCGCGGUAAUACGGAGGAUCCGAGCGUUAUCCGGAUUUAUUGGGUUUAAAGGGAGCGUAGAUGGAUGUUUAAGUCAGUUGUGAAAGUUUGCGGCUCAACCGUAAAAUUGCAGUUGAUACUGGAUAUCUUGAGUGCAGUUGAGGCAGGCGGAAUUCGUGGUGUAGCGGUGAAAUGCUUAGAUAUCACGAAGAACUCCGAUUGCGAAGGCAGCCUGCUAAGCUGCAACUGACAUUGAGGCUCGAAAGUGUGGGUAUCAAACAGGAUUAGAUACCCUGGUAGUCCACACGGUAAACGAUGAAUACUCGCUGUUUGCGAUAUACUGCAAGCGGCCAAGCGAAAGCGUUAAGUAUUCCACCUGGGGAGUACGCCGGCAACGGUGAAACUCAAAGGAAUUGACGGGGGCCCGCACAAGCGGAGGAACAUGUGGUUUAAUUCGAUGAUACGCGAGGAACCUUACCCGGGCUUAAAUUGCAGAUGAAUUACGGUGAAAGCCGUAAGCCGCAAGGCAUCUGUGAAGGUGCUGCAUGGUUGUCGUCAGCUCGUGCUGUGAGGUGUCGGCUUAAGUGCCAUAACGAGCGCAACCCUUGUUGUCAGUUACUAACAGGUUCCGCUGAGGACUCUGACAAGACUGCCAUCGUAAGAUGUGAGGAAGGUGGGGAUGACGUCAAAUCAGCACGGCCCUUACGUCCGGGGCUACACACGUGUUACAAUGGGGGGUACAGAGGGCCGCUACCACGCGAGUGGAUGCCAAUCCCCAAAACCUCUCUCAGUUCGGACUGGAGUCUGCAACCCGACUCCACGAAGCUGGAUUCGCUAGUAAUCGCGCAUCAGCCACGGCGCGGUGAAUACGUUCCCGGGCCUUGUACACACCGCCCGUCAAGCCAUGGGAGCCGGGGGUACCUGAAGUGCGUAACCGCGAGGAGCGCCCUAGGGUAAAACUGGUGACUGGGGCUA
RNAcentral lists this ribosomal RNA (1436 nucleotides) under uncultured organism. Its description in RNAcentral is "16S ribosomal RNA". It matches the Rfam family "Bacterial small subunit ribosomal RNA". The record is from RNAcentral.